CAAAAAUGUUUUUGCUUUAUAUUAAACUUAAGUGUUUUUGUUGGGCCUGGUUGUUUUCUGCUGCUUUUGUGCUGUUUUUUGGAACUUUUAUAUAUAGCUUGCUUGUUAGUAUUGCUUUAUGUUGUACUGCAGGUAUUUUUACUUUCUCUAUAAGUAGAAAAGUUAUAUUUGUGUUUUCAUCUCUGCUUUUCCACUACUAUGACAAUAAUUUUUAUUAGUAAUACUGUGAUGGUGGCCUCAAAGGAGAGUUGAAAACAUUUAUAAAGUAGUUUCUGCAGUCUUGAGCCAGUUUUUGAAUUUACAGUUAGAUGUUGGAUAGUUUUCCAUCUGCCAUCUUUAUUGGCUCAAUUUGGAUUUCAUCUUCUUUGGGAGCUUCUCAUUUUUCAUUUGGUGGUUUAAUCUGAUUGAAUCAAAACUUUUAUAGAAUAUUGUCACAUAAAACAUGUAUGCCAAAUUUAAUCAAAAGUUGACUGAUAUGGCUUGUAGAGGAAUUCAUGAUGAAAAAACAUCUUUGUCUUUAUUGGAUAGCAUUUUUCAAAAGGCUUCAAAUAACAUAAAAAACAUAUACAUUACAGAUUUGGUCAAAAUUGAUUGAACUAUGUGAUCUAGAGCAAUGUUUCUCAACCUUUUUUGGCCUGUGGAUCGGUAAAAUUUGUGAAAAAAGUUUCGCGGACCGGUGGUUUUUUAACAAAAAAAAUUUUACUAGGUAUUAAAAAACUAC
RNAcentral lists this long non-coding RNA (721 nucleotides) under Androctonus crassicauda. The record is from RNAcentral. Lineage: Eukaryota; Metazoa; Arthropoda; Arachnida; Scorpiones; Buthidae.